This 716-nucleotide ribosomal RNA is filed under the name uncultured bacterium. RNAcentral describes it as "bacterial SSU rRNA". It matches the Rfam family "Bacterial small subunit ribosomal RNA", at positions 29 to 750 of the family's 1533-position model. The record is from RNAcentral.
AUGAUACGCUGGCGGCGUGCUUACACAUGCAAGUCAAACGAUGACUUCUGUGCUUGCACAGAAUGAUUAGUGGCGAACGGGUGAGUAACACGUGAGUAACCUGCCCUUGACUUCGGGAUAAGCCUGGGAAACCGGGUCUAAUACCGGAUACGACCUCCUGGCGCAUGCCAUGGGGGUGGAAAGCUUUAUUGCGGUUUUGGAUGGACUCGCGGCCUAUCAGCUUGUUGGUUGGGGUAAUGGCCCACCAAGGCGACGACGGGUAGCCGGCCUGAGAGGGUGACCGGCCACACUGGGACUGAGACACGGACCAGACUCCUACGGGAGGCAGCAGUGGGGAAUAUUGCACAAUGGGCGAAAGCCUGAUGCAGCGACGCCGCGUGAGGGAUGACGGCCUUCGGGUUGUAAACCUCUUUCAGCAGGGAAGAAGCGAAAGUGACGGUACCUGCAGAAGAAGCGCCGGCUAACUACGUGCCAGCAAGCCGCGGUAAUACGUAGGGCGCAAGCGUUAUCCGGAAUUAUUGGGCGUAAAGAGCUCGUAAGCGGUUUGUCGCGUCUGCUGUGAAAGCCCGGGGCUCAACCCCGGGUCUGCAGUGGGUACGGGCAGACUAAAGUGAUGUAAGGGAGACUGGAAUUCCUGGUGUAAAGGUGAAAUGCGCAGAUAUCAGGAAGAACACCGAUAGACAAAGCAGGACUAUGGGGCUUUAACUGAAGCACGC